This 249-nucleotide ribosomal RNA is filed under the name uncultured bacterium. Its description in RNAcentral is "partial 16S ribosomal RNA". It matches the Rfam family "Bacterial small subunit ribosomal RNA", at positions 524 to 776 of the family's 1533-position model. The record is from RNAcentral.
UACGUAGGGGCAAGCGUUGUCCGGAAUCAUUGGGCGUAAAGAGCGUGUAGGCGGCCGGUAAGUCCGCUGUGAAAGUCCAGGGCUCAACCCUGGGAUGCCGGUGGAUACUGUCGGGCUCGAGUCCGGAAGAGGAGUGUGGAAUUCCUGGUGUAGCGGUGAAAUGCGCAGAUAUCAGGAGGAACACCAAUGGCGAAGGCAGCACUCUGGGACGUGACUGACGCUGAGACGCGAAGCGUGGGAGCAAACAGG